GAGUUUGAUCCUGGCUCAGGAUGAACGCUGGCGGCGUGCUUAACACAUGCAAGUCGAACGGAAAGGUCCAAGCUUGCUUGGGUACUCGAGUGGCGAACGGGUGAGUAACACGUGGGUGAUCUGCCCUGCACUUCGGGAUAAGCCUGGGAAACUGGGUCUAAUACUGGAUAGGACCACUUCUUGGAUGUUGUGGUGGAAAGUUUUUUCGGUGUGGGAUGAGCUCGCGGCCUAUCAGCUUGUUGGUGGGGUAAUGGCCUACCAAGGCGUCGACGGGUAGCCGGCCUGAGAGGGUGUACGGCCACAUUGGGACUGAGAUACGGCCCAGACUCCUACGGGAGGCAGCAGUGGGGAAUAUUGCACAAUGGGCGCAAGCCUGAUGCAGCGACGCCGCGUGGGGGAUGACGGCCUUCGGGUUGUAAACUCCUUUCGCUAGGGACGAAGCGUAAGUGACGGUACCUGGAGAAGAAGCACCGGCUAACUACGUG
Molecule: ribosomal RNA, 485 nt
Filed under: uncultured Corynebacterium sp.
Lineage: Bacteria; Bacillati; Actinomycetota; Actinomycetes; Mycobacteriales; Corynebacteriaceae
Description: bacterial SSU rRNA
Rfam family: Bacterial small subunit ribosomal RNA
Source: RNAcentral